RNAcentral lists this long non-coding RNA (10387 nucleotides) under Ananas comosus (pineapple). RNAcentral's name for it is "long non-coding RNA (ACOM_LNC025280)". The record is from RNAcentral. Lineage: Eukaryota; Viridiplantae; Streptophyta; Magnoliopsida; Poales; Bromeliaceae.
UAAAAGUAUUUUUUCGUACAUAAUUUGCUAAAUCUCAGCAUCUGCAGAUCACAAGAUAUUUUUUUUUCCAUCUCUCUAUUUUGAGGUAAUUGUAGAUGAAGCAGAAACAACUAAUAAACUUCGGUUUUGUAGGGAUCUCUACACAUGCAUUUGUGGGAAAUAUACAUUCCCAAUAAAAGAGUUAUCUUGUCUUUUCCGUGAUCGCGAAGAGCCUAAUACAUGGUUUCGAGUAUGAUCCCAAAAAAAGAAAAUCCUUUUUCUUUUUAUGGUACAUCAAUUUGGCUGUCGCUGGUGUCUUGUUGUUUACUUUAAGCCUCCGUUUGGUUCGGAGUUAAGGAAAAAGUAGCUAUUCCAGGGAUAGAGUUAAGUUCAGGGUUAAAGUUUUUUUGUGUUUGGUUGGGGGUUGGAGUUAGUCUAGAAUAAUGAAAAAUAGUGUUUGGCUGGGUAGGUGGGAUAAGAAAAUAAUGAUUGAUAAAGAAGAAUAAUGAUUGGUUGGAGUAGGUAUGAUAAGAAAGAUAGUGGGUUAUUAUGAAUAGAAAAUAGUGUUUGGUUGGAGUUUGGUGGGGUUAGGUGGUGUUAGUUAAUCCGGAAUAAUUUAUUUGAGGUGGGGUUAGGUGGGGUUAGCUAACCCCACCUAUUUUUUGGGAUGAACAUUAUAAGUUUUUUUAAGAAAAAUCUAUGUGAAAAAUUGUGUUUCCUAAUAAGUAGUGACAGAAUAAUGGGGCUUGCCCUGGCACUACUCUUUUUAGCUUCCACCUCUUUGUAUGCACUCACUCCCAUAUGAUGGGGCUUCAGAAAAUCCAUAGUCAAAAAGCGAGAAAUUAAUGAAUUCCGUGGAUUUGAUUCCACCUCUCGUUCUGUUGAAAUCGCAGAGUCGAUUUUCUUAUAACUAUUCAAUAAAAAAUUUUAUAAAAUUUUAUAACCUUCCAUGUCAAAAUAAAUAAAUAUCGUGACUAUGUUUGACAUCAAAUAAAUAAAUAAUGGGACUACUUUGACAUAAAAUAAAUGAAAAAAAAGGGCCUUAUAUUCCUGUGAGGUCGUGUUAUCUCAGUUAUGGAGAAUCCUGGUUUCUAUCGAUCACUUCCUCUCCUCUCCUCUCUUUUACCCGACCCUUCUCUCUCUCUCUCUCUCUCUCUCUCUCUCUCUCUCUCUUCGCUUGAGAAGUAACCAAUCUCUAAUCUCAGUACGAUUCCAUACCCAAUCUUUCCCUUCUUUUUUUUUUUUUUAUUUACCUUCGUUUUUUCUUUUUUUCUUUUUUAUAAUCAUCGGUGAGUUCCGUAACAACAAUAGAGCGGAGUCCAAUUUUUACCGAGAAAAAAAAACACCUUUUUGACGCGAAUUUUCGCAUUAACGAAUCGUUUUCCACACGCUUUGAUGAUCUAAUCUCUUGCUGCGAUUUUCUAAGAAACAAUUUUCAUUGUGGAUUCGCAGAAAAGUAGCAUUUUUUUUUUGUUUUUUGGUGUUAUUUGCCUAUUUUAAUUUUGCAGAGGCGAUAGAGUUGUUUAGGAUGAGGCUCAUAAAGGUUGCAACUUGUAAUUUGAACCAAUGGGCGAUGGAUUUCGAUACCAAUGUGAGGAACAUCAAGGAGUCGAUAUCUAGGGCUAAAGAAGAAGGGGCCGCAAUUAGGAUCGGCCCCGAGCUCGAGAUUACGGGUUACGGUUGUGAGGAUCAUUUCCUGGAGCAGGACAGUGUUACGCAUUCGUGAGUUGUUAUUUCAUAGAUUUCAUGCUCUAAUUUCUCGUUCCUCCUUGUUUUUGGCUUAAUUUUCCAUAUUGCUACUUUUUUUCGCACAAGGGAACAAAAAUUACUAAUUGGAGGGGGGGAAAAAACAGUUUGUUUUGAUAGUAGGAGUGAAAUUACUUAUCUUCUUAUCAGAUUUCUAUUUGCUUGUCACUGAUUUUAUGGUAAUCUAGCUAUAUAUGUUGAUAAAACAAUUUUUUUUUUUAUUUUUUGACAAAAAAAAAGCACUUAAAAAUGAUCUCUUGCUGUACUUAUCUCGUUAGAAGAAAUUGCAACUUUUUUCGUCUUAUAUAGUUUUAUUGGCGAAUUCCACGCGAAGCCCUAGCAUGGUAUUAAUCAGUCUGAGAAUUUGAUAUCAAGGUUACUUUAUUUGAUAUAUGAUUUUUCAGUCACACCUUAUGCUCAGCCCUAUUCAUUUAGACACAUUUGAACAAGGGCAUUGGGACUAGAUUUAUUGCUAAAACCUAGUUUUUCUAUUCAAAAGGUUCACUUUGUCACAUCAAUUCUCUCUAUUUUGCCUCUUUUAAGUGCUUAAUAAGUUUAUUUUUUCUUUUGUACCAAUUUUGUUUUGAAUUAGUCUUAAUGUAGCUGUAGGCACUACUGCUUCUACUAAGACAUUAGAAGUACUUUUGUGCAGAUGGGAAUGCUUGAAGGAUAUCUUAUCAGGUGAUUGGACUGACAAUAUACUAUGCAGCAUAGGAAUGCCUAUCAUUUUUGAAAGUGUGCGGUACAAUUGCCAGGUUUUCUGCUUAAACCGAAAGAUAAUCAUGAUUCGCCCAAAGAUGGCCCUUGCAAAUGACGGAAACUAUAGGGAAUUUCGGUGGUUCUCUGCUUGGACAUUGAAAGACAAACUUAUGGACUUCCAACUCCCAACUGAUGUUUCUGAGGCUAUAUCGCAGGACUCGGUGCCCUUUGGCUAUGGAUACAUCCAGUUUCUUGAUGUGUAAGUGCUAACCGCUGGUUACUUAAUUAAAAGUUCAGUAGCCUGUUUAAACUACAUAGUAAAGCGUCUUCAUUUGCUUCUGCAUGCCAUCAUUAGUAGCUUCACUUUGUGUUGGCAUCUUUUUCUCAAUCUAAAGGUUUUUGUUAAGCAAGAGUAAACUUGAAAUUUGCUUUUUUCUUUUCUUGUUUGUUCAUUUUAUAUUGGUAGAAGAGGUUGUUACAAUCAGAUUCUCUCUUCUUUUUCUUUUUUUUUUGUUGUGAGAAUGUGUAAAGAAGUCUUAUUGCAUGAAUAAUACUAUUAAUUUAUUUUUGAAAGCAAAUUCUCAAACAUAUUGUUCUGAGAUAUUCCUGCCAUGCUAUUAUCUGUGAAAUAUUCAAUCCAGUGCUUUUUCGUGUACUCAAAUUACUUAUUUAAUGAUCUAAAAAUGGGGGAAAUUGUUCUUGGUAUGUUCAUUAAUAUGCAUUUUUAACUGCUACUUUUGUACCUGUCAGAUCUUUGGCUGCUGAAACUUGUGAGGAGCUCUUCACUGCAGAUGCUCCUCGGAUCGAGUUGUCACUGAAUGGUGUUGAGGUCUUUAUGAAUGCAAGUGGAAGUCACCACCAGCUAAGAAAACUGAACCUUCGAAUUGAUUCAAUAAAAAAUGCAACCCGUUUUUGUGGAGGUGUUUACAUGUAUAGUAAUCACCAAGGAUGUGAUGGUGGCCGCCUUUACUAUGGUAUGCAGUUUUCUUAUUAGAGCAUUGAUCUAUAAAAGUAGUUCAACAGGGAAAUCAGAAUGUACUCCAAAUUGUUAUUGAUCAAUCAGCUUGAGUAGCAACCAGCUAGUUUUUCAGGUUUUCAAACUUGAUGUCCAGUUCAGUUGCUAUGCUUGAAGUAUGGCUAUGCUUGAAGUAUGAUUCACCAAUUAUACGUGGUGUACCUUAGCCAAACUGUAGCGAUCACAGAGAUUACUCAUAACUGCAUUGAAGAGUAUCUAUAAUGAUUACAAGGAUAACUGGGGAUGAAGGGACUACAUUAUUUUUGGUUUUGGUUGGCAUUGUAUUCCCAGAUAAUCCUUGAAGAACCCAAUUAGACCAGAACAGCUAUCCCCUGCUUUCUUCUUGUCGUCAUGGUUGGUAACCUGAGCAAUAUUCUAGGGCAUCCUUUGGUUGGGGAUAAGAAGCAGAUAACUGGACUCGUUUUUGUAACUUAAUUGAUCAACUUAUAAGUGUUCUCUUUAUUGUUGAUUCUUCUUGCUAGAUGGAUGUUGCUGUAUUGCUGUAAAUGGAGAUGUGGUUGCACAAGGGUCUCAAUUUUCCUUGAAUGAUGUUGAAGUAUUGAGUGCUCAAGUAGAUCUUGAUACUGUAAGAGAUAUUCCCUUUCAACUUUUAUUUAUGUAUAAUAAUAGGCAUUUUGGUUAACAUUAACUGAAACUAUUUUAAGCCCCUUAUGCUAGCUGCUUAUGUACUGCACAGACAAUCAUUAAGGGAGAGACAGGUUAUGAUUCGGAUUUAUAAUUUACAAAUCUUGCUUUCCUUUUUCGUAACCUUGUGAAAUCAGUAUUUCACUGUAUUCCGUUAGUAACAAUAGUCCAUAUGGAAAUAUAUCGUAUUAAUGUUGCUCUUGUUUCUUAAAUUCAUGGUAAUCACAUUUCAUGUUCCACAGGUUUCUAGCUAUCGAGGAUCUAUGAGUAGUUUCAGGGAGCAGGCAAGUCGCAAAUCGAAGGUUCCCUACGUGAAGGCACCGUACAAACUUUGUCAACCAUUUAAACUUGGAAUGUUUCCUACUAGCCCAGUUGAAGUAAGCUUCCUUUUUUGCCCUAAAACUUUUUGAGAAAAUAGUACACAAAACCAGUAUGCUUAUUUUUGUUGCUAUUAUGUGGUGUAAAAUUCAUUAGGUUGUUCAUAAUGGUCAUUUGUGGCAUGCAGAUUAAGUAUCACUGUCCUGAGGAAGAGAUAGCAUUUGGGCCUGGCUGUUGGCUGUGGGAUUAUCUGCGAAGGAGCGGGGCUUCUGGCUUUUUGCUUCCCCUUUCUGGAGGAGCAGAUAGUUCUGCAGUUGCAGCUAUUGUUGGCUGCAUGUGCCAACUAGUUAUAAAAGGUCAGAUCUGCACCAAUAUUUUUCAAAUAGGCUAUGAUGCUUAUUUUUAUUUUCAUUUUUUCUUGCCAGAAGCAUGAACCUGCUUUCUUUUGUUUCAAAUUCACUCAACAACUUCAAUACUUGUUAUGCUAGUUCGCCAAUGUCUUAAUGUGUCUACCAGUUUGCUAAGGGACGUGGUAGUGCCCGUUUAAUCCCACAUGUCCUUUGCCUUUUCUUUAUAAAGAUAAAAUCUUAUUUCAGUUGCUGCUCAAAGCAUUCUUGUCUUAAGAUGUUCUCCAAGUAUACAAUCUCCUUUCUGCUUGAACCUUUUGUUUGGCCAUUUUACUUAUCAUGCAUAGGCCUGAAAUCUUUAAUUAGAUAUACAAAAAGGAGAUGAGCAAGUAAAGGCUGAUGCCCUUCGGAUUGGCCAGUAUAAAAAUGGAGAGUUUCCAACCGACAGUCGAGAAUUUGCGAAGCGCAUAUUUUAUACGGUUUACAUGGGAAGUGAGAACAGGUAUGAAUCUAUUUAUAUCUAAGUUGUAUCAGCCCCCCAAUUUCAUGUUCAGUAAGCCUACAGUUUUUCAUCUAAGUAACUUAUCAUUAGAUAAAUUAUUUGACAUUCACUACCUUUGGUGAUAGAAGUUUACUGUGCUUUUCAGUUCUGAAGCUACUAGAUCACGUGCAAAGAAGCUAUCUGAUGAGAUUGGUUCAUGGUACCUAGACGUGCAUAUAGAUACUGUUGUUUCUGCAUUGAUCUCUUUAUUCGAGAAGCUAACAGGGAAGCGUCCACGAUACAAGGUGAGCAUAUAUUACACAGUCAAUUGUAGAGAUUAUAUUUGCAGGGUUUAGUGCUUUCAGUGGGUAGUACUGUCUGAUUGUUGUGAAGCCAUAUGUUCUAAUCUUUUGUAGUUGCAACGAAAUUUGUUUUAUGUUUCUAAUCGGAUGUGUAAGUAGUAAUAUUGUGUAACUAUAAAUAUUCUGAAUCACGAGAUGGUGUAUAAUCUUAUCCUCUAUCAUGAAGUGUCGUUAAAGACUUGUGAAGCCAUAUGUUCUAAUCUUUGCAGGGUUAUAUUUGCAGGGUUUAGUGCUUUCAGUGGGUAGUACUGUCUGAUUGUUGUGAAGCCAUAUGUUCUAAUCUUUUUGUAGUUGCAACGAAAUUUGUUUUAUGUUUCUAAUCGGAUGUGUAACUAGUAAUAUUGUGUAACUAUAAAUAUUCUGAAUCACGAGAUGGUGUAUAAUCUUAUCCUCUAUCAUGAAGUGUCGUUAAAGACUUGUGAAAUUCUUUUUAGCAUGACCAAGUAUUACCGCAUAACAUUAAUGGCCUAUCAAAUGCAGCCAAUCUGUAGGUGGUUACUUAUUAAAUCGCAAAAUGUGAAUUUAUAAGGCAGCAUUUUUGUUGCAUUAGUAGCAUGUUGCCCCAAAUUGCUUAGCAUGACAAGACUACCACUUUGCCAAAUCUAUAGGUUGAUGGAGGAUCAAAUACGGAGAACCUGGCUUUGCAGAACAUUCAAGCUCGAGUGAGGAUGGUAUUAGCCUUUAUGUUGGCAUCUCUUAUGCCCUGGGUUCAUAAUAAAUCUGGCUUUUAUCUCGUACUUGGUAGCUCGAAUGUGGAUGAAGGCUUACGUGGUUAUUUGACUAAGGUAAAAGCGAGGUUCUACUUCUGUUUUCUUAUUUUCCUCAAAUUGCUUUGAACUAACAUGAAUUGGUGGUCAAUAUUGAACAUUACUCAUUUAACGAGCUAGAGUUGUUGCCUUUUUCUCAUUCUAAAUUCUGAAUGCAUUAAUGCAAAAUUUCAUGUGGUGAGAGAUGCUUUGUGUAUUCAAAUCUGGAGAUAUCUAUAUACAUUACCCUGCGAAAACCACCUUUCUCCAUAUAUCUAUGCAGAGCAACACCACUAUCUGAUAAACCUUUUCUAACAGAAUACAAAUUUUUCCCUGCACAUUAGAUGACUCUUUCAACUCAAGAAAACAAUAUUUUUGUAAGAAGCGGCGCAUGAUGGCUGCAUAUGAAAAUUAGAUUUGAUGGAAGUAUCUGUGUAAACAGAUGAUCUUGCUGAGAAUGAAAUUAUACCUGAUAUCAGCAGUAUAUAUACAAUUUAUAAGAUCGCUUCUUUCUUGUGCAAAAUCCACAGUAUGAUUGCAGUUCAGCAGACAUAAAUCCCAUAGGGAGUGUGAGCAAGCAGGAUCUCAGGGCCUUUCUUCGUUGGGCAGCUGUUCACCUCCAAUACCCUUCUUUGGCAGAUAUCGAAGCGGCACCUCCAACUGCAGAACUGGAGCCCAUUCGUUCCAACUAUAACCAGGUAUAUGUUUGGUACUCGAAAGCUCAAACACACAAUUCCAGGUUUCAUUUUUCUGAAAAGAAAUCAGACUGAGUUAACUGUGUGAUUCUCCACUCGUGUAGUUCUUUUAGAAUUUGGAAUAUGAAAAACAAAAGAGUAAUUAAGUGGUUCUUCUUUCGGAAACUGCUUUUCAUACAAAGAUUGCUCUCUAUAUGAAUCAGUUGGAUGAAGUGGACAUGGGGAUGACCUAUGAGGAAUUAUCGAUAUAUGGAAGGCUGAGAAAGAUUUUCCGCUGCGGCCCUGUGUCAAUGUUUCAGGUUGGUGCCGAAACCUUGAAUGCGCUUUUGGGAAACUCAUAAUCACAAUACACUUUACUAGGAAAUUAAAACCUUCACGUCACUAGGAAAUCAAAACUUCUUGGUGGAUUUUGUUUUGUUUCGUUUCCCUUUCUUUGAAUUUGAUUUGUUGACAUAUGAACAUAAAUUGCAGAAUCUAUGCCACAGAUGGUGCGGGAGAUUAUCCCCAUCAGAGGUUGCAGACAAAGUGAAGUACUUCUUCAAGUACUAUUCCAUCAACCGGCAUAAAAUGACCGUCUUAACACCAUCAUACCAUGCUGAGGUACCUUUCCUCUUCUAAAUUGCUAAUUUUUGCGCUAAAUUUUCUCAUCUAUCAAUUUUGUUCAAUUAUGCCCCUGCUUUGGCAGAGCUAUUCACCGGAGGACAAUAGAUUUGACCUUCGCCAGUUCCUGUACAAUUCGAGAUGGCCCUAUCAAUUCCGCAAGAUCGAUGAACUCGUCCAAGAGAUGGAUAAGGAUCCUAAAACUGUUGAAGUUCAAGAAGUGCUACAAAGGAAGGAUUUGGAUAUAACAUCUGGGCACGGAAGCGGGAUGGGAGUUGCCGCGGUGGGAUCUGGCAAUCCAAGAGCUGGUCUCUAAAAGAGACAAUAGCUAAGAAGUUAAUGAAAUAAUUACCAGGUUCUCCUUCAUCCAUUCCUUUUCGCUAUACGCUAUAAAAUCGGACUCGUCAAUAACCACUAAAAACCAGUGUCACUAGCAAUUUCAGGAGAAGCUGAUACUGUAACAACAGAAAUUGAGAGCAGGGAUUAAAUUUCAGAGCUAGUUUGUUUCGUAAUAAACAUUCAACAUUUACAUACCUUACACAAUUGAGAGACGACAAAAAAAAAAAGCCUUGUCCCUAACUUCGUCCUGGAAAUUUUAAGUUUCUGUAAUUAGUUAGUUCACCUGGGUCUGGACAAAAAUUUUUUGUGCUCUCAUAUAUAGGAAUUAAAAUUUGACUAAAGUUUUCUAUGUGGAAAGACAUGUAUAGUUUAUUUAUGUUGUUUUUUUUUUUUUCCUUUUCCAGUAGUAAAUGUGCUCUUGGCUCAGCCAUUAUUCAUCACAGACCUGCUUUUCAAUCUUCUAAUUAUGUCCGGAUCAGACAAAAAAAAAAGGGAAAAAAAAAAAACUUUGCACCCAUCAUUACUCUUAUUAAUUCUUCCAUCCACUUGUGACUCUAUAGCUGCUAAGAAAGAUCCAAAAUAGGCUAGGCUUGUAGGGCUGGUUGGUUCUCGGAAAAGUCUCUCUUCUUUGCAGCAUGUGGAGUGGUCAUAAAUAAAGUUCUUCUUUAAUCAUUUUUUUUCUUUUCAAAAUUAUCAAAAUAAUGUCAAUUACAUCAAAGUAAUCUGUAACGUGUUCGUGUUCGGGUACGUUAUAUCAUCAUGGUGUACAAUUACAUUGAUUAGUUUGGGAUACACCAGUUUUGAGGCCUCUAUUUCAUGGAUUCCAGUUCUAAUUUGGACUUCUUUUCAUGAUAUAAUAUUUAGUCCCAUAAAACUAAAUAAAAGGCAUUAUUAACAGGUUAACUCAAUAACACCAUACUCACGAUGUUAUGGUGGUUUAGUACAAUUGUAAAACAACUUGGAACUAAAAAAAUAUAAAUGAAGAUUAGAAUACAGUUCUAGUAUAAUUGUAAAACAACUUGGAACUGAAAAAAUAUAAAUGAAGAUUAGAAUACAGCUCAAGGACAUAGCACAAAAUCCAAUUCUUUGGCGAUGUGGAGGAAUUUUAUACUGUCACACUUGCAUCACGUCAUCAAUAACAAGCCAAUCAUAUUUUUUCUUUUCAAAUAAAAGUACAAUAGUUUUUUAUUUUUAUAAUCAUGAUAGGACAUAUCUCUAAAACGAGAUAUUUGAUUGGCUUGUUAUGGCACAUCACCAAUAUACCCUUUGCAUUCUAGAAUUUCUCCGUGAUGUGAGUUUCAAGCAGACAUAUAAUUUGAGUUAGUCAAACCAAUAUACAUACACAUACUUCUCUGCAGCUAAAAUACACAUACUUCUCUGCAGCUAAAAUUCUCCAUACUUAAACAUCUACAUUACAAUACCAAAAAAAGAACCCUAGUUCAUAACUAGCCAAAAGUACACCUGAAAGAGGAAAACCACCGAUUGGCACCAAAACCCAAGAAGCACUUGGUGUCGACAAGCUUCGGGUACCAGAAAGCACUAACUCAUGACGAAGCUCGGCUUUCUCCACCAAAAUCACUAACCCCCAACUAGGUUAAACUGAAGAAACACCCGCGAUGGAAUAGUUCAUCUGCGCAACUUCUUUGCAUACCUGAUCGAGAAUGGCGAGAAAGUCCCUCACCACCAUGAAAAACCUGAAUGGGUGAGCUUCCUCCUUGGCGCAAUCUCCAUGGAAGUACUCCGUUAGCUCCCUCACCAGAGAUAGUGUUAUGCUCUCUUGGGCCUGAACUUUCACAAUUUCGCCUUCUGACCUUCGCAAGAAGGCGCUCAUCACCUCGUGGAACUGCAGGUUACGGUCUGUUGUACUUAACGCAGAAUUCAGUCUCAGUACGUUGUGAAUUUUUCCGAUCCCUUCUGCAAGCUUCGAUACGCUACCGCUUAGUGCAUCUGAGUCCAUAACAGCUGCCUUCUUCACAUUGUUGAGCUCCAAUCCAAGCCUCGAAACAACAUGAAGGCCAACUUUUUUGCACUCGAGAUCAUUGAAGAGAGGACUUUUGUCCGGUUCAACCAUUUGAAAUUGGGUAGAGAAAUGGCGAUAGCCUUCGCCUUUUGCGAUUUCCUGGACGACAAAGUGAAGGAGGGUGGUCCUCCCGUCGGAGGCUUUUACAUCAACGAGUUUCAAAAGAGUGUCGAGCUUAAAGGCGUGAGCAUCACCACGGUUUGUGCCGACAUUCAUUCGGUUCCCGGUCUUAAGAACAGCUUCUAGAAGCUUGUGGAACAAUCUGCUUCCCUUUAGCUCUUCACAAGCCGCCUGAAAAAUGAAAAAAAAACACAAGGAAAAAGCUAAUUAUCACAAAAAAUCAGAGAGUGAUGAGUUGUCUUUUGUUUAUUUAGAGUAAACUUAAUUUCAUAUUU